Molecule: ribosomal RNA, 253 nt
Filed under: uncultured bacterium
Lineage: Bacteria
Description: partial 16S ribosomal RNA
Rfam family: Bacterial small subunit ribosomal RNA
Source: RNAcentral
UACGUAGGGAGCAAGCGUUGUCCGGAAUCAUUGGGCGUAAAGCGCGCGUAGGUGGCCUCAUAAGUCCGCUGUGAAAGUCAAAGGCUCAACCUUUGAAAGCCGGUGGAUACUGUGGGGCUAGAGUACGGAAGAGGCGAGUGGAAUUCCUGGUGUAGCGGUGGAAUGCGCAGAUAUCAGGAGGAACACCAAUAGCGAAGGCAGCUCGCUGGGACGUUACUGACGCUGAGGAGCGAAAGCGUGGGGAGCGAACAGG